Molecule: non-coding RNA, 80 nt
Organism: Acanthosepion pharaonis
Lineage: Eukaryota; Metazoa; Mollusca; Cephalopoda; Sepiida; Sepiidae
Source: the annotation of a GenBank genome assembly
UACGAUCACCAAAGUUAAGCAAUUUUGAGCCUGGUCCGUACCUAGAUGGGUGACCACUUGGGAAUACCAGAUGUUGUAAG